UACGUAGGGUGCAAGCGUUGUCCGGAAUUAUUGGGCGUAAAGAGCUCGUAGGCGGUUUGUCGCGUCUGCUGUGAAAACUCGGGGCUUAACCCCGGGCCUGCAGUGGAUACGGGCAGACUAGAGGUAGGCAGGGGAGAAUGGAAUUCCCGGUGUAGCGGUGAAAUGCGCAGAUAUCGGGAGGAACACCGGUGGCGAAGGCGGUUCUCUGGGCCUUACCUGACGCUGAGGAGCGAAAGCGUGGGGAGCGAACAGG
Molecule: ribosomal RNA, 253 nt
Filed under: uncultured bacterium
Lineage: Bacteria
Description: partial 16S ribosomal RNA
Rfam family: Bacterial small subunit ribosomal RNA
Source: RNAcentral